Zonotrichia albicollis (white-throated sparrow) is the source of this 201-nucleotide non-coding RNA. NCBI's taxonomy places the organism in Eukaryota, Metazoa, Chordata, Aves, Passeriformes, Passerellidae. The record is from RefSeq and is a predicted model, not a curated record.
AGAGGAUCCGCACAUCGGGAAUCAUCCUGCUGGAGACCAUCCUCUUCGGCUCCCUCCUCCUCUACUUCCCUGUGUUCAUCCUGUACUUCAAGCCGAGCAUCUUCCGCUGCAUCGUCCUGCGCUGGGUGCGGAUGCUCGGCUUCGCCAUCGUCUACGGCACCAUCACCCUCAAGCUCUACAGGGUGCUGAAGGUGUUCCUGU